This is a long non-coding RNA of Prinia subflava (tawny-flanked prinia), 2159 nucleotides long. RefSeq lists it as uncharacterized. The record is from RefSeq and is a predicted model, not a curated record. The transcript has 3 exons. NCBI's taxonomy places the organism in Eukaryota, Metazoa, Chordata, Aves, Passeriformes, Cisticolidae.
CAAAAUACCCAAGUUCCUGACAAUGUAUUGGAGAAAAAAACAUUUCACCAACUCCUUUUCCACAUGAUUAAUCCUUGUAAAAAGUAUCACACCACUGUGUCCAGCCCAUACAACUGCUCUAGGUGCUGUGGUUGUCCAAUAAACCUCAGCACUUUACUGUCUGCAAGUGCUGCCUUCUUCCCAGGAACCCCCUCGGUGUGGUCCAAGGGAGCACUGAUGGGCAGUGAGGAAGGAAAGUGGGGACACACUCAACCAGCCCAAAGGAUAAAUGUCACAGUGACUUCUGCCACCCAACCCUGUGUUCCAUGGCUGCAGAUCAAGCCAGGGUGGCCAACAGAGACAGGCAGGACUGAGCCAUUUGCUCCUGCCUCAGUGCUGCUGUGUAACCUGGGGAAAUGGGUUUUGUUUCACCUCAGUUUCCCCACCUGGAACACGGAAAUAAUUUUCUUGGCUUCUUUUUAAAGGCCUUUCAGAUGAACAGCCUGUUUAAAGAGGUAAGUUGUAUUAUAAGCAACGGACUCUCAUGACUGCCAAGAACCAAAAGUGAUAUGAGGGAGAUGAAAUUCAGGCCACCUCAUCAGCAAAGCAUGUUGACCUGGCCUUCAAGACAAGGUUAGGGCUCUUGGAGAGAGCACAUUCCUUUUUGGGACGGAAAGGAGUGGACAUAGACCCAGCACAUGCUUUCCUAUUAUUAGUCAUUUGUAUCCAUGUAUUGCUGCAAAUGUGUACAGCCCUCAACAACCCACCAAAGCAAGGCCACAGCCUGAAGUCUUCUAACCCAGCAGCUCAACCUCACAACGGGGGAUGAGGAGAAGCUGCCAGGUAAUUUCCCCUUGAUGGCUUGGGCAGGAUGGAUGCAACCAGUCCUCACCAAGCCUGCAAGCCCCAGCACCUCCAUGAGCCUCUCAGCAGGACUGGAGAGGGACAAGGGCAGGCAGAGGGACCUGCCUGGGCACCAGCUGGAGAGCUCGGCAUCUCUAGAGGACCAGGAUGCUGACAGGCAGUAACACAAAACUGAGGAGUUGUACUGAAAGGAAGCUGAAAGGGAAAGUUAGGAGUCAAAUGGUUUCAGAACUCACAGACUGUAUUUAAACAGUCCUUUCAGAAAGAGAACAUGGAAGAAACAUGCACACAGGGGUCCUGAAACUUCAAAAGAGAAAAGCCUGACCAGUGCUGUGUGCAUAUGGGGUAAUUAAGUUUGAGCUGAUGUUGAUACUGGGCAUGUCCUUGGUGCUGUAGGGGAGAGGGAGCACAGUGAGGAGGUGGGCUGGGGUAAGGAGGGACAGGUUACUGCUGCUCACCAGGAUCCAGGAGAUCUGGACACUACAGGGAGCAGCCCACUAGGGGAUUUUGGCAGAGCUGGGACUAUACCUCACGUCCAUCUCCACACACAACCCCUCUCCUGACCACAGGAACAUCCUCCCAGCCUCAGACAGGUCCUAAGCAAACAAAUGGGAGGAUUUUUACUGGUUUUAAUGAUGUAUGAGGUCAGAUGGAGCUGAAGCCAGACCAGCUGCCAGUGCAACUGUGCAUAAAUCAGUGCAUUGGCUCACAGAUGGAGAAACAGUUGAGGUUUUUGCAGGUCCUUACCCAGCUAUUCACCCUCCCAUACAUCUCUCACCCAAGCAAUUUCAGAGCCAACACUGCUCUUGCUGAAGUCCAUGGGAGAGUUGUCCUUGGCCUCGAUGGCCCCAGGGUCCCUGUCCAAGCUGCCACAGCGAGGCUGAGCCUCUGACAGGUCACUGGAGACACAUCCAUGGCCCUGCCUCACUGGAGGGAGGUACUGAGACACUGCUUGGGUAAGGCAGCACGUCCACUAGGGCUGGGCUGAGAACUUCAGUGUCUUUUAGGUUUAAACAACGUUGCUUCUUUAUAAAAUUGAGCCUCUCCACCUGCAGCAGAGUGCAUCCAAACUGAUUUGCAAGACUGCCAAGGACACAGUGUCUCCCACCAAGAAGUAGGUGAUGUAUCAGAAAGUCAGAUACCUGAUGGGAUUCAGAGAUAGCAGGGCUACAGGGAUCCUGUAUGAUGAUUUAGUCCAGCUUUCCACACAAAUUCAUAAAUUAACUCCUGCAUUGUGUCCUGAGCUUAAAAUGGAACAUCCUUCAGGGUUCUGAGUGUGAGGAGAGGAGAGGAGAGGAGAGGAGAGGAGAGGAGAG